This 254-nucleotide ribosomal RNA is filed under the name uncultured prokaryote. RNAcentral describes it as "partial 16S ribosomal RNA". It matches the Rfam family "Bacterial small subunit ribosomal RNA", at positions 523 to 775 of the family's 1533-position model. The record is from RNAcentral.
AGACGUAGGGGGCAAGCGUUGUCCGGAUUUAUUGGGCGUAAAGAGCCCGUAGGCGGCUCAGAAAGUCGGGUGUGAAACCUCCAGGCUCAACCUGGAGACGCCACCUGAUACUGCUGUGGCUAGAGUCCGGUAGGGGAGCACGGAAUUCCCGGUGUAGCGGUGAAAUGCUUAGAUAUCGGGAGGAACACCAGUGGCGAAGGCGGUGCUCUGGGCCGGAACUGACGCUGAGGAGCGAAAGCGUGGGUAGCAAACAG